UGAGGAAUAUUGGUCAAUGGACGAGGGUCUGAACCAGCCAAGUAGCGUGAAGGAUGACUGCCCUAUGGGUUGUAAACUUCUUUUAUACGGGAAUAAAGUGAGGCACGUGUGCCUUUUUGUAUGUACCGUAUGAAUAAGGAUCGGCUAACUCCGUGCCAGCAGCCGCGGUAAUACGGAGGAUCCGAGCGUUAUCCGGAUUUAUUGGGUUUAAAGGGAGCGUAGGCGGACGCUUAAGUCAGUUGUGAAAGUUUGCGGCUCAACCGUAAAAUUGCAGUUGAUACUGGGUGUCUUGAGUACAGUAGAGGCAGGCGGAAUUCGUGGUGUAGCGGUGAAAUGCUUAGAUAUCACGAAGAACUCCGAUUGCGAAGGCAGCUUGCUGGACUGUAACUGACGCUGAUGCUCGAAAGUGUGGGUAUCAAACAGGAUUAGAUACCCUGGUAGUCCACACAGUAAACGAUGAAUACUCGCUGUUUGCGAUAUACAGUAAGCGGCCAAGCGAAAGCGUUAAGUAUUCCACCUGGGGAGUACGCCGGCAACGGUGAAACUCAAAGGAAUUGACGGGGGCCCGCACAAGCGGAGGAACAUGUGGCUUAAUUCGAUGAUACGCGAGGAACCUUACCCGGGCUUGAAUUGCAACUGAAUGAUGUGGAGACAUGUCAGCCGCAAGGCAGUUGUGAAGGUGCUGCAUGGUUGUCGUCAGCUCGUGCCGUGAGGUGUCGGCUUAAGUGCCAUAACGAGCGCAACCCUUAUCGAUAGUUACCAUCAGGUUAUGCUGGGGACUCUGUCGAGACUGCCGUCGUAAGAUGUGAGGAAGGUGGGGAUGACGUCAAAUCAGCACGGCCCUUACGUCCGGGGCUACACACGUGUUACAAUGGGGGGUACAGAAGGCAGCUACACGGCGACGUGAUGCUAAUCCCUAAAGCCUCUCUCAGUUCGGAUUGGAGUCUGCAACCCGACUCCAUGAAGCUGGAUUCGCUAGUAAUCGCGCAUCAGCCACGGCGCGGUGAAUACGUUCCC
This 1017-nucleotide ribosomal RNA is filed under the name uncultured bacterium. RNAcentral describes it as "bacterial SSU rRNA". It matches the Rfam family "Bacterial small subunit ribosomal RNA", at positions 355 to 1375 of the family's 1533-position model. RNAcentral also lists the same sequence under 1 other name. The record is from RNAcentral.